AAUAGUGUAAAAUCACCAAGCAACAUCAGGUUUAAGGCACGGCAACUCACAACUAUUUAUGAGCGGACGUUUUCGAGCGAGUAUUCUUUGCUACCAGAAACGCGCUGCCACGUUUCUACCGCUUCAUGUCUGUUAUAUAACACAGUUUUUUCAGAGGCGAACUAAUUACGUUCAUCAAGUUAAGCAUAGCACUUGCCGAGGAAAAGAACAGUAGUUGCCGACAAAAGCCAUAACGCGCCGGCGUCACGAAUGCGAAUGUAAUCAUGAGGAUAUCAUGCCACAGACACUCUCGCCUAUCAUAAAUUAAUAAUUAUCAUAUUACGUUAAAUGUUUCCAUGCUUAUUGGCGCAGG
This 352-nucleotide long non-coding RNA is filed under the name Volvox carteri. Its description in RNAcentral is "long non-coding RNA (VCAR_LNC001349)". The record is from RNAcentral. Lineage: Eukaryota; Viridiplantae; Chlorophyta; Chlorophyceae; Chlamydomonadales; Volvocaceae.